CCUACGGGUGGCUGCAGUGGGGAAUCUUGGACAAUGGGCGAAAGCCUGAUCCAGCAAUGCCGCGUGAGUGAUGAAGGCCUUAGGGUUGUAAAGCUCUUUUACCCGGGAAGAUAAUGACUGUACCGGGAGAAUAAGCCACGGCUAACUCCGUGCCAGAAGCCGCGGUAAUACGGAGGGGGCUAGCGUUGUUCGGAAUUACUGGGCGUAAAGCGCACGUAGGCGGCUUUGUAAGUUAGAGGUGAAAGCCCGGGGCGCAACCCCGGAACUGCCUUUAAGACUGCAUCGCUUGAACGUCGGAGAGGUUAGUGGAAUUCCGAGUGUAGAGGUGAAAUUCGUAGAUAUUCGGAAGAACACCAGUGGCGAAGGCGGCUCACUGGACGACUGUUGACGCUGAGGUGCGAAAGCGUGGGGAGCAAACAGGAUUAGAUACCCCAGUAGUC
RNAcentral lists this ribosomal RNA (440 nucleotides) under uncultured bacterium. RNAcentral's name for it is "partial 16S ribosomal RNA". It matches the Rfam family "Bacterial small subunit ribosomal RNA", at positions 338 to 795 of the family's 1533-position model. The record is from RNAcentral.